Molecule: ribosomal RNA, 253 nt
Filed under: uncultured bacterium
Lineage: Bacteria
Description: partial 16S ribosomal RNA
Rfam family: Bacterial small subunit ribosomal RNA
Source: RNAcentral
GACGUAGGGGACGAGCGUUGUCCGGAUUCAUUGGGCGUAAAGCGCGCGUAGGCGGUUACGCAAGUCCGAUGUGAAAGCUUCCGGCUUAACUGGAAAAUUGCAUCGGAAACUGCUCGGCUUGAAGGUGGGAGAGGGUAGCGGAAUUCCCGGUGUAGUGGUGAAAUGCGUAGAUAUCGGGAGGAACACCAGUGGCGAAGGCGGCUACCUGGCCCACUCUUGACGCUGAGGCGCGAAAUCUAGGGGAGCAAACGGG